UGAGCUGCCAAUUGAUGAACAUUUUAU
This 27-nucleotide non-coding RNA is filed under the name Rattus norvegicus (Norway rat). Lineage: Eukaryota; Metazoa; Chordata; Mammalia; Rodentia; Muridae. The record is from RNAcentral.